ACGUAGGAGGCAAAAAUUAUCCGGAUUUACUGGGCGUAAAGCGCGUGUAGGUGGUUCUGUAAGUAGGGCGUGAAAGCUCCUGGCUCAACUGGGAGAGGACGUUCUAAACUGCAGAGCUAGAGGAUGGUAGAGGGAGGUGGAAUUCGGGGUGUAGCGGCGUAAUGCGCAUAUAUCCGGAGGAACACCAGUGUUGAAAGCGGUCUCCUUGACCAUUCCUGACACUCAGACGCGGAAGCUAGUGUAGCAAACGG
Molecule: ribosomal RNA, 251 nt
Filed under: uncultured prokaryote
Description: partial 16S rRNA
Rfam family: Bacterial small subunit ribosomal RNA
Source: RNAcentral